GCUCCAGUGGCGCAAUCGGUUAGCGCGCGGUACUUAUACAGCAGUACUAUCGGGCGAGAAAUGCCGAGGUUGUGAGUUCGAUCCUCACCUGGAGCA
This 96-nucleotide transfer RNA is filed under the name Sarcophilus harrisii (Tasmanian devil). It matches the Rfam family "tRNA". From Rfam's summary of the family: Transfer RNA (tRNA) molecules are approximately 80 nucleotides in length. Their secondary structure includes four short double-helical elements and three loops (D, anti-codon, and T loops). The record is from Rfam by way of RNAcentral. Lineage: Eukaryota; Metazoa; Chordata; Mammalia; Dasyuromorphia; Dasyuridae.